This is a non-coding RNA of Acanthosepion pharaonis, 117 nucleotides long. The record is from the annotation of a GenBank genome assembly. NCBI's taxonomy places the organism in Eukaryota, Metazoa, Mollusca, Cephalopoda, Sepiida, Sepiidae.
UUACGGCCGUAUCACGUUGAAACACCUGUUCCCCUGCGAUCACCGGGAAAGUUAAGCAACGUUGUGCCAGAUCAGUACCAAGAUAGAUGACUGCUUGGCAAUACAAGGUCCUGUAUG